CUUGUUAGUUCAGUUGGUUAGACUGUGGUGCUGAUAACGACAAGGCUGCAGGUUCGAUCCAUGUAUGCAAGA
This is a non-coding RNA of Podarcis lilfordi (Lilford's wall lizard), 72 nucleotides long. The record is from the annotation of a GenBank genome assembly. Lineage: Eukaryota; Metazoa; Chordata; Lepidosauria; Squamata; Lacertidae.